This 429-nucleotide ribosomal RNA is filed under the name bacterium. Its description in RNAcentral is "partial 16S ribosomal RNA". It matches the Rfam family "Bacterial small subunit ribosomal RNA", at positions 355 to 776 of the family's 1533-position model. The record is from RNAcentral.
UAGGGAAUCUUCGGCAAUGGGGGCAACCCUGUCCGAGCAACGCCGCGUGAGUGAAGAAGGUUUUCGGAUCGUAAAGCUCUGUUGUAAGAGAAGAACGUGUGUGAGAGUGGAAAGUUCACACAGUGACGGUAACUUACCAGAAAGGGACGGCUAACUACGUGCCAGCAGCCGCGGUAAUACGUAGGUCCCGAGCGUUGUCCGGAUUUAUUGGGCGUAAAGCGAGCGCAGGCGGUUUAAUAAGUCUGAAGUUAAAGGCAGUGGCUUAACCAUUGUUCGCUUUGGAAACUGUUAAACUUGAGUGCAGAAGGGGAGAGUGGAAUUCCAUGUGUAGCGGUGAAAUGCGUAGAUAUAUGGAGGAACACCGGUGGCGAAAGCGGCUCUCUGGUCUGUAACUGACGCUGAGGCUCGAAAGCGUGGGGAGCAAACAGG